This 424-nucleotide ribosomal RNA is filed under the name uncultured bacterium. Its description in RNAcentral is "bacterial SSU rRNA". It matches the Rfam family "Bacterial small subunit ribosomal RNA", at positions 356 to 776 of the family's 1533-position model. The record is from RNAcentral.
GAGGAAUAUUGGUCAAUGGACGAGAGUCUGAACCAGCCAAGUAGCGUGAAGGAUGACUGCCCUAUGGGUUGUAAACUUCUUUUAUAUGGGAAUAAAAUGAGUUACGUGUAGCUUUUUGUAUGUACCAUAUGAAUAAGGAUCGGCUAACUCCGUGCCAGCAGCCGCGGUAAUACGGAGGAUCCGAGCGUUAUCCGGAUUUAUUGGGUUUAAAGGGAGCGUAGGUGGAUUGUUAAGUCAGUUGUGAAAGUUUGCGGCUCAACCGUAAAAUUGCAGUUGAAACUGGCAGUCUUGAGUACAGCAGAGGUGGGCGGAAUUCGUGGUGUAGCGGUGAAAUGCUUAGAUAUCACGAAGAACUCCGAUUGCGAAGGCAGCUCACUGGACUGGUCACUGACACUGAGGCUCGAAAGUGUGGGUAUCAAACAGG